Molecule: ribosomal RNA, 648 nt
Filed under: uncultured bacterium
Lineage: Bacteria
Description: bacterial SSU rRNA
Rfam family: Bacterial small subunit ribosomal RNA
Source: RNAcentral
UAGAGUUUGAUCCUGGCUCAGAUUGAACGCUGGCGGCAGGCCUAACACAUGCAAGUCGAGCGCGAAAGGCCUUCGGGCUGAGUAGAGCGGCGGACGGGUGAGUAACGCGUAGGAAUCUACCUGGUAGUGGGGGACAACAUGGUGAAAACCAUGCUAAUACCGCAUACGCCCUAUGGGGGAAAGCGGGGGACCUUCGGGCCUCGCGCUAUCAGAUGAGCCUGCGUAGGAUUAGCUUGUUGGUGAGGUAAAGGCUCACCAAGGCGACGAUCCUUAGCUGGUCUGAGAGGAUGAUCAGCCACACUGGAACUGAGACACGGUCCAGACUCCUACGGGAGGCAGCAGUGGGGAAUAUUGCGCAAUGGGCGAAAGCCUGACGCAGCCAUGCCGCGUGUGUGAAGAAGGCCUUCGGGUUGUAAAGCACUUUCAAUUGGGAAGAAAGGUUGCGUGUUAAUAGCACGUAGCUGUGACGUUACCUUUAGAAGAAGCACCGGCUAACUCCGUGCCAGCAGCCGCGGUAAUACGGAGGGUGCGAGCGUUAAUCGGAAUUACUGGGCGUAAAGCGCGCGUAGGCGGUUUGUUAAGUCGGAUGUGAAAUCCCCGGGCUCACCUGGGAAUGGCAUUCGAUACUGGCCGACUAGAGUACGAGAG